CAUGGGCGCAAGCCUGAUCUAGCCAUGCCGCGUGAGUGAUGAAGGCCCUAGGGUCGUAAAGCUCUUUCAACUGUGAAGAUAAUGACGGUAGCAGUAGAAGAAACCCCGGCUAACUCCGUGCCAGCAGCCGCGGUAAUACGGAGGGGGUUAGCGUUGUUCGGAAUUACUGGGCGUAAAGCGUACGUAGGCGGAUUAAUAAGUUAGAGGUGAAAUCCCAGGGCUCAACCCUGGAACUGCCUUUAAAACUGUUAGUCUUGAGAUCGAGAGAGGUGAGUGGAAUUCCAAGUGUAGAGGUGAAAUUCGUAGAUAUUUGGAGGAACACCAGUGGCGAAGGCGGCUCACUGGCUCGAUACUGACGCUGAGGUACGAAAGUGUGGGGAGCAAACAGGAUUAGAUACCCUGGUAGUCCACACCGUAAACGAUGAAUGCCAGACGUCAGCAAGCAUGCUUGUUGGUGUCACACCUAACGGAUUAAGCAUUCCGCCUGGGGAGUACGGUCGCAAGAUUAAAACUCAAAUGAAUUGACGG
RNAcentral lists this ribosomal RNA (528 nucleotides) under uncultured Alphaproteobacteria bacterium. Its description in RNAcentral is "bacterial SSU rRNA". It matches the Rfam family "Bacterial small subunit ribosomal RNA", at positions 370 to 916 of the family's 1533-position model. The record is from RNAcentral. Lineage: Bacteria; Pseudomonadati; Pseudomonadota; Alphaproteobacteria.